Molecule: ribosomal RNA, 427 nt
Filed under: uncultured bacterium
Lineage: Bacteria
Description: bacterial SSU rRNA
Rfam family: Bacterial small subunit ribosomal RNA
Source: RNAcentral
UGGGGAAUUUUGGACAAUGGGCGAAAGCCUGAUCCAGCAACGCCGCGUGCAGGAUGAAGGCCCUCGGGUUGUAAACUGCUUUUGUACGGAACGAAAAGCUUGGGGCUAAUACCCCCGGGUCAUGACGUUACCGUAAGAACAAGCACCCGCUAACCACGUGCCAGCAGCCGCGGUAAUACGUAGGGUGCAAGCGCUAAUCGGAAUUACUGGGCGUAAAGCGUGCGCAGGCGGUUAUGCAAGACAGAUGUGAAACCCCCGGGCUCAACCUGGGAACUGCAUUUGUGACUGGAGAGCUGGAGUGCGGCAGAGGGGGAUGGAAUUCCGGGUGUAGCGGUGGAAUGCGUAGAUAUGCGGAGGAACACCGAUGGCGAAGGCAGGCCCCUGGACCUACGCUGACGCUCAUGCGCGAAAGCGUGGGGAGCAAACA